UAAUGACAUCAUAACUUUUCGCUAAAACUCUGGCCAUAUAAGGACACAUAUGAAGACCCUCACUCCUCUUACUAUACUAUACACCCACAUUCCACACUUCCUAUGGUACAGCAUAGCAAUUUACCAUCUGUUCUUUUGAACUCGUUAGACAUAUAUUCCAAAUAUGAAUAGGAACAUGGAAUAUGUAUUAUUCUACAAUUCAC
Non-coding RNA from Pelobates cultripes (western spadefoot toad), 203 nucleotides. The record is from the annotation of a GenBank genome assembly. NCBI's taxonomy places the organism in Eukaryota, Metazoa, Chordata, Amphibia, Anura, Pelobatidae.